GACGUAGGGCGCGAGCGUUGUCCGGAUUUAUUGGGCGUAAAGAGCUCGUAGGCGGCUUGUCGCGUCGACCGUGAAAACUUGGGGCUCAACCCCAAGCCUGCGGUCGAUACGGGCAGGCUCGAGUUCGGUAGGGGAGACUGGAAUUCCUGGUGUAGCGGUGAAAUGCGCAGAUAUCAGGAGGAACACCGGUGGCGAAGGCGGAUCUCUGGGCCGAUACUGACGCUGAGGAGCGAAAGCGUGGGGAGCGAACAGG
This 253-nucleotide ribosomal RNA is filed under the name uncultured bacterium. RNAcentral's name for it is "partial 16S ribosomal RNA". It matches the Rfam family "Bacterial small subunit ribosomal RNA", at positions 524 to 776 of the family's 1533-position model. The record is from RNAcentral.